Molecule: non-coding RNA, 1071 nt
Organism: Megalobrama amblycephala (Wuchang bream)
Lineage: Eukaryota; Metazoa; Chordata; Actinopteri; Cypriniformes; Xenocyprididae
Source: the annotation of a RefSeq genome assembly
UUUAACAUCUCAGAUGAUCUUGUUAGUUUUGCUAGACUGUCACAAAGCUCAGUCCUGCUGCAGUGAACACACACAUGUACAAUGAUACUUCACUCAGUCAUUCUGAUCUCUGCCUUGGCAUGUGUGAGUUUUGGAGAUGAAAUCACACCAGACAGCACUGAAGAGUCUGCUGCAGAGGGUUCAACUCUUACAUUAUCCUGCAGUUAUUCAUCUGCAUAUUCACUUCUCUGGUACCGUCAGUAUCCCGGAUCAGCUCCUGAAUUUCUUGUGCUUAUAAUGGAGGGUGUGAAAGACACUAAGGCAUCUAAGGUAGAUCCCAGAUUCUCUACUAAGACCAGAAAAGAAAAACAAGCCACAAAAGAGAUCAAACGUGUGGAUCUGAUCAUCUCCUCUGCUGCAGUGUCAGACUCUGCUCUGUAUUACUGUGCUCUGAGGCCCACAGUCACAGGAAACACAAGAACACUGUACAAAAACCUGAAAAGGCAUAACUAAAAUGAUGCCUUUCUAAACAGAUUGAAGCACAUAACAAUCGAAAGAAUCACAUUCUGCCAAUUCAGACACAAAACAAAACUCUGAUGGAACACAUUCAAAGAUCCAUUUAUAUAAUAAAAUAAAAUGUGCAAGGAGAAAAAAAAAAACAGUAUGCAGACUUUAUUUUCUUUGGAGGAAACUACUAAAAUUAAACUUGGUUUUGUAAUGCUUUUUAGGUUACCAUAUGCACCACAUAUUACGCAUAUAUUAUCAAUAUAUGAUCAAGCCUCAUUACAGGAUCAUUAGCUCCUCCUCUUCUAUUUACAAAAUAACAGAUAUCUCAUUUACAGAUUACUCGUUUGUUCAUUUAUUUGUCUAUACAAUAAAAAUGAGUCAAAGCUGGAAUAGGCAUCUACAUAAAAAGGCUUACAUGAGAACAUGUUCCUGAAAAUCACAGCACCCCCACCCUGACUGAAACUUUUAGAGCAGCUAAGAUAGUUGCAUUUCAUAGCGGUGAGUUCAGAUACAGAGAACUUAGAUCAUCUGGUGCAAACCAUGUUCAACAGAAAGGUUUUGUUUGUUACAGAUCGUUCAUUUAUU